RNAcentral lists this ribosomal RNA (500 nucleotides) under uncultured Myrionecta. Its description in RNAcentral is "SSU rRNA". It matches the Rfam family "Eukaryotic small subunit ribosomal RNA", at positions 34 to 598 of the family's 1831-position model. The record is from RNAcentral. Lineage: Eukaryota; Ciliophora; Litostomatea; Cyclotrichida; Mesodiniidae.
AUGUCCCAAGGCUAAGCCAUGCACGUCUAGUACGACUAAAUGAUGGUGAAACUGCAAAUGGCUCAUAACAACGGUUAUGAUGUACCCGGGAGUUCCGAUGGAUAUUUCCAGUAACACUAGAACUAAUACAUGUCCCUGCGUUUAUUAGUUUCGCACAGUCCGUCGCUGAGUCAUGGUAAACAGUUGAUCGACUCGACGUCCCGGAACAGUUUCCGCCCCAUCAGCUUCGAUGGUUGGGUAUUGGCCUACCAUUGCAACAACGGGUAACGAGGAAUUAGGGUUUGAUUUCGGAGAGGGAGCCUGAGAAACGGCUACCACAUCUACGGAUGGCAGCAGGCGCGCAAAUUACCCAAUGCAGACACUGUGAGGUAGUGACGAGAAAUAAUAAAGCGGGACUUCUGUUUCGCUAUUAUAAUGAGGAAUAACCAAAGGUCAUUCCGAUUAGCAACUGAUGGGAAAGUCUGGUGCCAGCAGCCGCGGUAAUACCAGCGUCAGUAGCA